Molecule: long non-coding RNA, 2168 nt
Organism: Python bivittatus (Burmese python)
Lineage: Eukaryota; Metazoa; Chordata; Lepidosauria; Squamata; Pythonidae
Source: RefSeq, a predicted model, not a curated record
AACCAUCGUUAAAUGAAUGGUCGUUAAGCGAGGACUUCCUGUACAUCUGUUUCUGGGAUUGCAAAGGGGAUUGAUAUGGAUGACUUGGCAAGAGAGAACCCAGCUGGAGAACACCACAAGUGGCAACUGAGUGGUGGAAAGCCCUUGGUUCACUCCAAGUGGUCCUUCUGCACCACUGAAAACAACAUUUUAAGGGUACUUUGUGCUAAAUCCGCUCCACAUAUGUGCUUGUAAUAUACCUCUGGCUGUCCACUUGCAAGGAGGGAGCGUGUCCUGAAGUGAAAAAAAACCUAUGGUUGUUAUCAGAGAGCCACUGAUAAGUUCAUAAAAUAAAGCGUUAAUUUUGAAAGCACUGUGUUUCUGUCUUUCAAUAAAGAAGGCAUCAGAGGUUUGCCACGGUAAAAAGCUGGGUGUGUUGAGCACGGAGCAAAGAUAUUCUUGUGCUGGGCCCCCAGCUCCUCCUCCUCCUUGCUCUGCCCUUCUGAACAGCCUUGACUAGGAGGUUAACUCUGUUUCUCAUUAACGUCCGUGGCGAACAGCUCCUUGACAAGAGCAGAGAGCCAAAAGCAAGAGAGAUUCGGAAUAUAACAUCCCUGAAGAAUGGCCCUCCAGCCUCUGUUGAAGCACUCCAAGCAAAGGAGACUCCACCACAGUUGAGCAGGUCUUCUCAUUAGGAAAUCUUUUCUGAAGUCCAACCAGCCUUUGUCUCCUUGUAAUUUAAAUCCUUUCCUCCUUGUCCUGUCUUCUGGAGCAUCUCUGAAGAAUUUUGUUCAACUUCUCCAUGACAUCCUUCAGAGACUUGAAGACAGCUGUCACGGGUCCCUGAAGUCUCCUCUCCUGCAGGCUAAAGAUUCCCACUUGGUCUUCCCUCCAGAAUCAAACCAGGCCACUGGACCAAUCGCCAGCAAAUGCAAAAUGCUAAAAGGGAAGGCAUGUCUGGGCACGUGCUAACAGAACGUUCCAUGCGCUCUCCUUGGGUUGGUGGGCUCCAUCUAUCCACAGGCCUAUGGAAACACCCCGCUCGAGGCCAGCCAAGCACAAUGUUAGAAACCUCCCAAAGAUGCGCCAAUGCGCUGGAGCAUCCGUAGACCUUUCUCCAGCGCAAAUGCUCAGACUCAUCCAGGAAAGCUGAAAGGCGCCAAACACAGAAGGACCGGCGUCUCCAAGCAGCACAUGACCUGCAGAAUUAGGUACCGUAAGAAGGCUUUAAAAAUGGAUCCCUCCAUGGAGAAGAACAAGGCCAUCAGUGGCCAGCUACCAGCUAUGGAGUUUCCACAUGGGCAAUACAUGUAGGCAAUACCAUAGGAGUUAUUGUGCAAACCCAUAUCUCUGUAUGGGCUUCCCCCCCGCAAGCAUCACGGAACCCAGAAGUUGCAAGGGAUGGGCCUGUCAUAUCCUUGCUAUGGAAAACGUUUCCCAGAUGUCGCUGAAUAUAUUAAUAAGGACCACUUUUUAAAAAAAACCCAAUGGCCAGUUUUUAAAAAUCAUAUGUUAACGUCCGUGGGAGUUAAGGAAGUAUGUGGGAGCCAAGGCGACUUUCACUGAUCCUGCACAGGCUUGUCUGAUGGUCUGGCGUGGGCAGACGAGGCCUCGGCUCUUCAAACGCGGGGCAGGGUUUUCUGGAGGAGCUUUGGGUGAUUUUAAAGCCCUCCCCUCCCCGCCAUCUCUCCAGCAAUGGCACCCUUGGGCUCCUGAACGGAGGCCCGCUUCCAGCUCGCCUAGCUGUCUCUGGUCUGGGACUGGGCUACGGUUCCAGUUUCAGGUCUGCAGACGGCGGAGCUGAUCCCAGCUUGGAGGCGCCUGGCUGUUUACAAAUGAGGUUCUUCGUCUCUCUCGGCUGUUGUCCUCGGAGGGAGUAAAUUAAGCCGGGAGAUUUGACGCAGCUUUAUGGCUCAGCUGCUGGGAUGAAGACUCAAUAAAGGCUAAAUGUGUCUCAGAAUUUCUUUGUUUUUCAGCAGGACUUACAGGGGGUGGUCGGAAGAGGCUGUAAGGGAUUCGGAGCAGUUUCUAACUCGAUGGCCUUCCUCCAGCCCUCUCCUUUCCUGGGCUAAGUCAAGGUUCUGACAGUAGAAGACAUAAGACAGACUAACUAUUAGAGCUAACGCUGAAAACGUUCAUUUCUUUGUUUAAAAUAUUUGUAUAACGCUCUUCAGAGGAGCCUAAAUUAA